This 82-nucleotide transfer RNA is filed under the name Halomonas ventosae. RNAcentral describes it as "tRNA-Leu". It matches the Rfam family "tRNA". From Rfam's summary of the family: Transfer RNA (tRNA) molecules are approximately 80 nucleotides in length. Their secondary structure includes four short double-helical elements and three loops (D, anti-codon, and T loops). Further hydrogen bonds mediate the characteristic L-shaped molecular structure. tRNAs have two regions of fundamental functional importance: the anti-codon, which is responsible for specific mRNA codon recognition, and the 3' end, to which the tRNAs corresponding amino acid is attached (by aminoacyl-tRNA synthetases). tRNAs cope with the degeneracy of the genetic code in two manners: having more than one tRNA (with a specific anti-codon) for a particular amino acid; and 'wobble' base-pairing, i.e. permitting non-standard base-pairing at the 3rd anti-codon position. RNAcentral also lists the same sequence under 1 other name. The record is from RNAcentral. Lineage: Bacteria; Pseudomonadati; Pseudomonadota; Gammaproteobacteria; Oceanospirillales; Halomonadaceae.
GCGGAUGUGGUGGAAUUGGUAGACACGCCAGGUUUAGGUCCUGGUGCCUUCGGGCGUGGGAGUUCAAGUCUCCCCAUCCGCA